AUGCAUUGGGUGUCUUGGAAAGAGUUGGCAACACCCAAGCAAGGGGGCAUGGGAUUUCAAGAUCCACACUUAUUUAACCUUGCAAUGCUUGGCAAGCACGGAUGGAGGUUUGUGACAAGUCCGGACUCCCUCUGCGCGAGAGUAUUGAAAGGAAGGUAUUUCCCCGAUUCUGAAUUCAUGCAGGCGUCAGCACCCAAGUCAGCUUCUGCUACUUGGAAGGCGAUUAUAGCGGGGAGGGAA
This 240-nucleotide ribosomal RNA is filed under the name Triticum aestivum (bread wheat). Its description in RNAcentral is "partial small subunit ribosomal RNA". Lineage: Eukaryota; Viridiplantae; Streptophyta; Magnoliopsida; Poales; Poaceae. The record is from RNAcentral.